UCAUACAGCUAGAUAACCAAAGAUAACAACUCGCUUCCCUCACAGCCUCUGUCUUCUUCAGGCCAGACUCUAGAUCCGGAUCUUUCUGGCAGUACCGAAGAGUAGUCCUCCAAGAUACUGGCCGAGCCCAAGAUUCCUCCUUGUAUGUAAAUUUGACCUGGUUUCUGUUUGUGUGUGCGGCUAAAACAUCCAAACGAGAGCCGUUGCUUUCAAAGUUUAUUCCGAACUUUUUUUUUUCCUUUCAGCAAGUAAUCUCCGGCAGCGUUAGGCAACAAUUCAUCUAUUAAUAUCAGAAAAUAAAACCAGCUAUUAAGGUGCAGCAAGCGGUUACGAGUGAGCAGCAGCAUCCGUCCCUCCACAGGCCUCUAUUUGCAUUGUAAAUUGCUUCAUUCUCACGCCAGACUCUUUAGCCUCCCUCUAUAGAGAUGUAUAAAGCCAACGGCAAUUUCCAGCGCAGGUUUAGGAGGAAGGAAAAAAUAUAUACAAAAAACAUCCCAUUCUAUAGAAGAAGAGACAGCUGAUUCAAGGACCUGCUCCGGAUCCUUUUGGGUUAGGCACCAUGAGCUUUUUAACCAAGCGGUGGCAGCUUGAUUGCAUAUAUCUUGUGUGUGUGUGUUUUAGGGGGGAAGAUCCUCGAUUUCACCGGGCUUCUAGGCUGGGGAGGAGAAGAUGCCGUCCUGUAGGCGUGCUGCUGCCCCGGGUCUGAAAGAAGGAGAAAAGGGCCAUCAUUGGAGGGGCUUUCACUGCCAAAAUGUGGACCAGCCCGGCAAGGUCAAAGGUUCGAGACCGCAGGAGACCAAGCUUGGAAGAAAGAGGAACUCUUAAGAAAAACAUUAGGGAUUUGAACAUUGUAACCUGCCAUACAAAAGAGGAGGGAGAGUUCUUUCAUGUAAGAAUUUUAAGACUGGAACAAAGUCAUAUUUUUUAAAUGUUUAAAGCACUGAAUUUCCAGGCCUUUCAAACAAUGGGAAUCCCUGGAUAAAUAUCUAAUCCAUUAGAAAGAUGCAAAUAGUUUACUGUAAGGCCACAGCACGGUGAGAUGUGCAUUCAUAUCCAUGGCUUCUGAUUGG
RNAcentral lists this long non-coding RNA (1070 nucleotides) under Sus scrofa (pig). RNAcentral's name for it is "lncRNA (ENSSSCG00070007936.1)". The record is from RNAcentral. Lineage: Eukaryota; Metazoa; Chordata; Mammalia; Artiodactyla; Suidae.